CUCUGUUAGGUAUCUCUGUUGGGUAUCUCUGUUGGGUAUCUCUGUUAGGUAUCUCUGUUAGGUAUCUCUGUUGGGUAUCUCUGUUGGGUAUCUCUGUUGGGUAUCUCUGUUGGGUAUCUCUGUUGGACUUCUUCUUCUUCCUCGUGGGCCGAGUUCCGCUGAAGUGGGAUAGGUUCGUCCGACUCCUUGUUCUUUCGAUGGCCGCCUACUUCGUUAUCGGGUGUAAAGUCUCUGAUUGUCCACAAGAUGUCACAAUGUCCUUUCUCUUAGUUGUCUGUUUCCUUGCACUCGUUCUGUGAGAGGGGUCUUCUGAGGAUGGCUAAUCAGCCG
Long non-coding RNA from Oncorhynchus tshawytscha (Chinook salmon), 330 nucleotides. The record is from Ensembl. NCBI's taxonomy places the organism in Eukaryota, Metazoa, Chordata, Actinopteri, Salmoniformes, Salmonidae.